CCAGGCUAAACGCCUUACGGGGUGGAGGUAUAAGCCUGCAGUUCCCUCUGUGAUUAUGGGAAACGUGAACUCGCUGUUAAACAAGACAGACGAGCUAUCCGCUUUGAUAAGAAGUGACAGGACUUACAGAGAGAGCAGCCUGCUGUGUUUGACAGAGACAUGGCUAACCAGAUACAUCCCAGAAGUAAACGUGGAGCUACCUGGAUUCCACCAGGUGAGAGCGGACCGGGACUGUAAACAAAGUGGCAAGAGGAAAGGAGGAGGACUGGCACUGUACGUGAACAUCAGAUGGUGUAACCCGGGUCAUGUGACUGUGAAGGAGAAGCUCUGCUCUAAAGACAUUGAACUGUUAGCAGUAAGUCUUCGGUCAUAUUACAUACCGCGGGAGUUUACCCACGCCAUCGCGGUUGUUGUUUACAUUCCUCCACACGCUCACGCGGACACGGCAUGCGACAUCAUUCACUCUGUCGUGUUGAGGCUGCAAACCCAGAACCCUGAGACCUUCAUUCUUAUCUCUGGAGACUUCAACCAUGUUACAUUGGACAAUACACUUCAUGAUUUCCAUCAAUUUGUUGACUGCCCCACCAGGCUGAAUAGGAAAAUAGACCUACUGUAUGCUAACUCUAAGGAGGCAUACUCAGCCAAUCCCCUCCCACCACUUGGAAAGUCAGAUCACAACCUUGUCCUCCUGCGGCCACAGUACACGCCCAAGAUCCAGAGCCAACCCCAGACCACCCGCCCCUUCAGGAAGUGGUCUCCUUUGGCAGAGGAGACUCUGACAGACUGUUUUGAGUCCACUGUGCAUUACUUUCCAAACAACAAAUCCUGGAUCACGAGUGACAUUAAAGACGCCCUCAAUAGAAAAAAGAGAACGUUCAGAGAUGGAGACCGAGAGGGGCUGAAGCAGGCCCAGCAGGAACUAAAGGUCAGUCUGAAAGAGGCCAAGGCGUCCGACAGCAGAAAGAUGAGACAAAAACAGAAACAAAACAACAUGAGAUAGGUAUGGGAAGGGAUUAGAACCAUUACAGGCCACACGGAGAGAGAC
This 1045-nucleotide long non-coding RNA is filed under the name Gouania willdenowi (blunt-snouted clingfish). RNAcentral's name for it is "lncRNA (ENSGWIG00000000262.1)". The record is from RNAcentral. Lineage: Eukaryota; Metazoa; Chordata; Actinopteri; Blenniiformes; Gobiesocidae.